AACGAACGCUGGCGGCAGGCCUAACACAUGCAAGUCGAGCGCCCUUUCGGGGGAGCGGCGGCCGGGUGAGUAACGCGUGGGAAUAUGCCCUUCUCUACGGAAUAGCCUCGGGAAACUGAGAGUAAUACCGUAUACGCCCUGUGGGGGAAAGAUUUAUCGGGGAAGGCUUAGCCCGCGUUGGAUUAGGUAGUUGGUGGGGUAAUGGCCUACCAAGCCGACGAUCCAUAGCUGGUUUGAGAGGAUGAUCAGCCACACUGGGACUGAGACACGGCCCAGACUCCUACGGGAGGCAGCAGUGGGGAAUCUUAGACAAUGGGGGCAACCCUGAACGAGCCAUGCCGCGUGAGUGAUGAAGGCCGUAGGGUUGUAAAGCGCUUUCAGCUGGGAAGAUAAUGACGGUACCAGCAGAAGAAGCCCCGGCUAACUCCGUG
This 431-nucleotide ribosomal RNA is filed under the name uncultured bacterium. Its description in RNAcentral is "partial 16S ribosomal RNA". It matches the Rfam family "Bacterial small subunit ribosomal RNA", at positions 29 to 507 of the family's 1533-position model. The record is from RNAcentral.